This 505-nucleotide ribosomal RNA is filed under the name uncultured bacterium. Its description in RNAcentral is "partial 16S ribosomal RNA". It matches the Rfam family "Bacterial small subunit ribosomal RNA", at positions 30 to 523 of the family's 1533-position model. The record is from RNAcentral.
AUUGAACGCUGGCGGCAUGCCUUACACAUGCAAGUCGAACGGCAGCACGGGUGCUUGCACCUGGUGGCGAGUGGCGAACGGGUGAGUAAUACAUCGGAACGUACCUUAUCGUGGGGGAUAACAACUUGAAAAAUUUGCUAAUACCGCAUAAUACUCUGAGGAGGAAAGCGGGGGAUUCGUAACAAACUAGUGCGAUUAGAGCGGCAGAUGGCGGAAUAGCUAGUUGGUGAGGUAAAGGCCAACCAAGGCAACGGUCAGUAGCAGGUCUGAGAGGAUAAUCUGCAACACUGGAACUGAGAAACGGUCCAGACUGCUACGGGAGGAAGCAGUGGGGGAUUUUGGACAAUGGGGGCAACCCUGAUCCAGCAAUGCCGCGUGAGUGAAGAAGGCCUUCGGGUUGUAAAGCUCUUUUGUCAGUGAAGAAAACUUUAAUAAUAACACUAUUAAAGCAUGACGGUAACUGAAGAAUAAGGACCGGCUAACUACGUGCCAGCAGCCGCCGUAA